CUCAUUUAGCGAGGACGGUGUGACUAUACUAGUGCCUUAAUCAUCCAGCAUGUGUUCUAAACGGAGUUCAUUAUUCGCCGUUAUCACGGUUUUAAUAGUUCUUUUUUGUGCAUCUUGUAUACAUGCAGCACCAUUAGAAAUAGUUUCAUACAAGGAAGGAUGCAAAGAAUCCAAAAUAAAUAAUGGUUUGAAAUGUGCUAGAGAAUUUGAUAGACUUUGGAAAAAUGAAAAAACUAUACAUUGUCCGUUGCAGAUUAUCAUUUGUAUGAUGCGAUUCCAUAUACAGGACUAUGAUACUUUAAAAGGGAGAGUGGACUUCAUGCGCAAAUAACUCUGUGAUUAGUGUAAAAAAAAAUGUCUUGCGUUGUAUUUAUUGCUGUUGAUAUGUAUUAGGCUUUUUUCAAUUUUCUUCAUUAUUUAUGCACUGUUAUGACCGUUUUGUAAAUCCAUCCAAGUGCCAAGUUAUUGUUAUUUUGUUAUGAUUAUUAUAUUUUUAUAUAA
This is a long non-coding RNA of Magallana angulata, 501 nucleotides long. RefSeq lists it as uncharacterized. NCBI's taxonomy places the organism in Eukaryota, Metazoa, Mollusca, Bivalvia, Ostreida, Ostreidae. The transcript is spliced from 3 exons. The record is from RefSeq and is a predicted model, not a curated record.